Molecule: ribosomal RNA, 1169 nt
Filed under: Poland Brassica rapa phytoplasma
Lineage: Bacteria; Bacillati; Mycoplasmatota; Mollicutes; Acholeplasmatales; Acholeplasmataceae
Description: bacterial SSU rRNA
Rfam family: Bacterial small subunit ribosomal RNA
Source: RNAcentral
GGCAUCUUCUUGUUUUUAAAAGACCUAGCAAUAGGUAUGCUUAGGGAGGAGCUUGCGUCACAUUAGUUAGUUGGUGGGGUAAAGGCCUACCAAGACUAUGAUGUGUAGCCGGGCUGAGAGGUUGAACGGCCACAUUGGGACUGAGACACGGCCCAAACUCCUACGGGAGGCAGCAGUAGGGAAUUUUCGGCAAUGGAGGAAACUCUGACCGAGCAACGCCGCGUGAACGAUGAAGUAUUUCGGUACGUAAAGUUCUUUUAUUAGGGAAGAAUAAAUGAUGGAAAAAUCAUUCUGACGGUACCUAAUGAAUAAGCCCCGGCUAACUAUGUGCCAGCAGCCGCGGUAAUACAUAGGGGGCAAGCGUUAUCCGGAAUUAUUGGGCGUAAAGGGUGCGUAGGCGGUUAAAUAAGUUUAUGGUCUAAGUGCAAUGCUCAACAUUGUGAUGCUAUAAAAACUGUUUAGCUAGAGUAAGAUAGAGGCAAGUGGAAUUCCAUGUGUAGUGGUAAAAUGCGUAAAUAUAUGGAGGAACACCAGUAGCGAAGGCGGCUUGCUGGGUCUUUACUGACGCUGAGGCACGAAAGCGUGGGGAGCAAACAGGAUUAGAUACCCUGGUAGUCCACGCCGUAAACGAUGAGUACUAAACGUUGGGUAAAACCAGUGUUGAAGUUAACACAUUAAGUACUCCGCCUGAGUAGUACGUACGCAAGUAUGAAACUUAAAGGAAUUGACGGGACUCCGCACAAGCGGUGGAUCAUGUUGUUUAAUUCGAAGGUACCCGAAAAACCUCACCAGGUCUUGACAUGCUUCUGCAAAGCUGUAGAAACACAGUGGAGGUUAUCAGUUGCACAGGUGGUGCAUGGUUGUCGUCAGCUCGUGUCGUGAGAUGUUGGGUUAAGUCCCGCAACGAGCGCAACCCUUAUUGUUAGUUACCAGCACGUAAUGGUGGGGACUUUAGCAAGACUGCCAGUGAUAAAUUGGAGGAAGGUGGGGACGACGUCAAAUCAUCAUGCCCCUUAUGACCUGGGCUACAAACGUGAUACAAUGGCUGUUACAAAGGGUAGCUGAAGCGCAAGUUUUUGGCAAAUCUCAAAAAAACAGUCUCAGUUCGGAUUGAAGUCUGCAACUCGACUUCAUGAAGUUGGAAUCGCUAGUAAUCGCGAAUCAGCAUG